This 516-nucleotide ribosomal RNA is filed under the name Triticum aestivum (bread wheat). Its description in RNAcentral is "partial small subunit ribosomal RNA". The record is from RNAcentral. Lineage: Eukaryota; Viridiplantae; Streptophyta; Magnoliopsida; Poales; Poaceae.
AUGUGGCAUGGAGAGAGAAGCACAAACACAUGUAACAUCACAGUUCCAAAGUUUGGUCUCUGCUGCAAGGAAGGGAAAAUUAAAUUACCACCACUGAAGCAAGCUCCGUUGUAUCUCCGACAGCUACUACGUUACAAUGAAAGAGGAGAGUCAUCCAAUUUUCGCCAGAACAUCAGGUUGUACAACUCCAUGUUCGCGUUCACUUCAAUGGGAGGAAAGGUUGACUAUGAAAUUAAUAAGCAGACACCUGGACCAUAUGUUUUCCGUUUGAAUGGCCAAAACUACCAUCAGAUUGGCACUUUACUUCCUAAAGAUGACGUGACAAAACCAAAAUUUGCCCAAUUGUACAUACAUGACACAGAAAAUGAAGUGCGUAACAGGAUUACUGCAUCAACUUCAAUGGAGAUUAAGACAAAGCCAGAUGAAAACAUUGUCAAAGGUCUACUAGAGAUGCUAGAUGAGCACAAUGUUUUGGUCAAAUCGUUUCGUAUGGCAAGGGACAGGCUCGAAAACUGA